UCUAUUUUGGCAGAUAAAUGCAUUGAAUUUAGAUUUCAUGAAUAUAUAAUUAUUAUAUAAAUAGAA
RNAcentral lists this transfer RNA (66 nucleotides) under Acraea vestalis. RNAcentral describes it as "tRNA-Leu". The record is from RNAcentral. Lineage: Eukaryota; Metazoa; Arthropoda; Insecta; Lepidoptera; Nymphalidae.